GCCCGAUUAGCUCAGCUGGUUAGAGCGUCGUACUAAUACUGGAGAUCAGUAGAUAGUCCAUGCGAAGGUCAACAGUUCAAUCCUGUUAUUGGGCA
RNAcentral lists this transfer RNA (95 nucleotides) under Apiosordaria backusii. Its description in RNAcentral is "tRNA-Ile". Lineage: Eukaryota; Fungi; Ascomycota; Sordariomycetes; Sordariales; Lasiosphaeriaceae. The record is from RNAcentral.